AAAUUGAAGAGUUUGAUCAUGGCUCAGAUUGAACGCUGGCGGCAGGCCUAACACAUGCAAGUCGAACGGUAACAGGAAGCAGCUUGCUGCUUUGCUGACGAGUGGCGGACGGGGGAGUAAUGUCUGGGAAACUGCCUGAUGGAGGGGGAUAACUACUGGAAACGGUGGCUAAUACCGCAUAACGUCGCAAGACCAAAGAGGGGGACCUUCGGGCCUCUUGCCAUCAGAUGUGCCCAGAUGGGAUUAGCUUGUUGGUGAGGUAACGGCUCACCAAGGCGACGAUCCCUAGCUGGUCUGAGAGGAUGACCAGCCACACUGGAACUGAGACACGGUCCAGACUCCUACGGGAGGCAGCAGUGGGGAAUAUUGCACAAUGGGCGCAAGCCUGAUGCAGCCAUGCCGCGUGUAUGAAGAAGGCCUUCGGGUUGUAAAGUACUUUCAGCGGGGAGGAAGGUGUUGUGGUUAAUAACCGCAGCAAUUGACGUUACCCGCAGAAGAAGCACCGGCUAACUCCGUGCCAGCAGCCGCGGUAAUACGGAGGGUGCAAGCGUUAAUCGGAAUUACUGGGCGUAAAGCGCACGCAGGCGGUCUGUCAAGUCGGAUGUGAAAUCCCCGGGCUCAACCUGGGAACUGCAUUCGAAACUGGCAGGCUUGAGUCUUGUAGAGGGGGGUAGAAUUCCAGGUGUAGCGGUGAAAUGCGUAGAGAUCUGGAGGAAUACCGGUGGCGAAGGCGGCCCCCUGGACAAAGACUGACGCUCAGGUGCGAAAGCGUGGGGAGCAAACAGGAUUAGAUACCCUGGUAGUCCACGCCGUAAACGAUGUCUACUUGGAGGUUGUGCCCUUGAGGCGUGGCUUCCGGAGCUAACGCGUUAAGUAGACCGCCUGGGGAGUACGGCCGCAAGGUUAAAACUCAAAUGAAUUGACGGGGGCCCGCACAAGCGGUGGAGCAUGUGGUUUAAUUCGAUGCAACGCGAAGAACCUUACCUGGUCUUGACAUCCACAGAACUUUCCAGAGAUGGAUUGGUGCCUUCGGGAACUGUGAGACAGGUGCUGCAUGGCUGUCGUCAGCUCGUGUUGUGAAAUGUUGGGUUAAGUCCCGCAACGAGCGCAACCCUUAUCCUUUGUUGCCAGCGAUUAGGUCGGGAACUCAAAGGAGACUGCCAGUGAUAAACUGGAGGAAGGUGGGGAUGACGUCAAGUCAUCAUGGCCCUUACGACCAGGGCUACACACGUGCUACAAUGGCGCAUACAAAGAGAAGCGACCUCGCGAGAGCAAGCGGACCUCAUAAAGUGCGUCGUAGUCCGGAUUGGAGUCUGCAACUCGACUCCAUGAAGUCGGAAUCGCUAGUAAUCGUGGAUCAGAAUGCCACGGUGAAUACGUUCCCGGGCCUUGUACACACCGCCCGUCACACCAUGGGAGUGGGUUGCAAAAGAAGUAGGUAGCUUAACCUUCGGGAGGGCGCUUACCACUUUGUGAUUCAUGACUGGGGUGAAGUCGUAACAAGGUAACCGUAGGGGAACCUGCGGUUGGAUCACCUCCUUACCUUAAAGAA
RNAcentral lists this ribosomal RNA (1552 nucleotides) under Salmonella enterica subsp. enterica serovar Braenderup str. CFSAN000756. RNAcentral's name for it is "bacterial SSU rRNA". It matches the Rfam family "Bacterial small subunit ribosomal RNA". Lineage: Bacteria; Pseudomonadati; Pseudomonadota; Gammaproteobacteria; Enterobacterales; Enterobacteriaceae. The record is from RNAcentral.